GACGUAGGGCGCGAGCGUUGUCCGGAUUUAUUGGGCGUAAAGAGCUCGUAGGCGGCUUGUCGCGUCGACUGUGAAAUCCCGCGGCUCAACCUCGGGCCUGCAGUGGGUACGGGCAGACUAGAGUGCGGUAGGGGAGAUUGGAAUUCCUGGUGUAGCGGUGGAAUGCGCAGAUAUCAGGAGGAACACCGGUGGCGAAGGCGGGUCUCUGGGCAGUAACUGACGCUGAGGAGCGAAAGCGUGGGGAGCGAACAGG
RNAcentral lists this ribosomal RNA (253 nucleotides) under uncultured bacterium. RNAcentral describes it as "partial 16S ribosomal RNA". It matches the Rfam family "Bacterial small subunit ribosomal RNA", at positions 524 to 776 of the family's 1533-position model. The record is from RNAcentral.